AGUGGCGGACGGGUGAGUAAUGCAUAGGAAUUUGCCUAUUAGUGGGGGACAACACGGGGAAACUCGUGCUAAUACCGCAUACGCUCUUAGGAGGAAAGCAGGGGAUCUUCGGACCUUGUGCUAAUAGAUAAGCCUAUGUCGGAUUAGCUUGUUGGUGGGGUAAUGGCCUACCAAGGCGACGAUCCGUAGCUGGUUUGAGAGGAUGAUCAGCCACAUCGGGACUGAGACACGGCCCGAACUCCUACGGGAGGCAGCAGUGGGGAAUAUUGGACAAUGGGGGCAACCCUGAUCCAGCAAUGCCGCGUGUGUGAAGAAGGCCUUAGGGUUGUAAAGCACUUUUGUCAGUGAGGAAACGGUGGUGGUUAAUACCCGCCGCACUUGACGUUAACUGAAGAAUAAGCACCGGCUAACUCCGUGCCAGCAGCCGCGGUAAUACGGAGGGUGCGAGCGUUAAUCGGAAUUACUGGGCGUAAAGCGCGCGUAGGCGGAUAAUUAAGUCAGAUGUGAAAGCCCUGGGCUUAACCUGGGAACUGCAUUUGAUACUGGUUAUCUUGAGUAUGGUAGAGGUAAGCGGAAUCUCCAGUGUAGCAGUGAAACGCGUAGAGAUUGGAAGGAAUAUCGAUGGCGAAGGCAGCUUACUGGGCCAAUACUGACGCUGAGGUGCGAAAGCGUGGGUAGCGAACGGGAUUAGAUACCCCGGUAGUCCACGCCGUAAACGAUGCCAACUAGGUGUAGGGGUCUUGAACUUCUGUGCCGCAGCUAACGCAUUAAGUUGGCCGCCUGGGGAGUACGCACGCAAGUGUAAAACUCAAAGGAAUUGACGGGGACCCGCACAAGCGGUGGAGCAUGUGGUUUAAUUCGAUGCAACGCGAAGAACCUUACCAGGCCUUGACAUCUAGCGAAGUUUCCAGAGAUGGAUUCGUGCCUUCGGGAACGCUCAGACAGGUGUUGCAUGGCUGUCGUCAGCUCGUGUCGUGAGAUGUUGGGUUAAGUCCCGCAACGAGCGCAACCCUUAUCCUUAUUUGCCAGCACGUUAUGGUGGGAACUCUAGGGAGACUGCCGGUGACAAACCGGAGGAAGGUGGGGACGACGUCAAGUCAUCAUGGCCCUUACGGCCUGGGCUACACACGUGCUACAAUGGACGUUACAGACGGUUGCCAAAUCGUGAGAUGGAGCUAAUCUGAGAAAGGCGUUCGUAGUCCGGAUUGCAGUCUGCAACUCGACUGCAUGAAGUCGGAAUCGCUUGUAAUCGCGAAUCAGCAUGUCGCGGUGAAUACGUUCCCGGGUCUUGUACACACUGCCCGUCACACCAUGGGAGUUGGUUGCAAAAGAAGUAGGUAGUCUAACUUUUAGAGGACGCUUACCACUUUGUGGUCAAUGACUGGGGUGAAGUCGUAACAAGGUAACC
This 1408-nucleotide ribosomal RNA is filed under the name uncultured bacterium. RNAcentral describes it as "bacterial SSU rRNA". It matches the Rfam family "Bacterial small subunit ribosomal RNA". The record is from RNAcentral.